This 497-nucleotide long non-coding RNA is filed under the name Eucalyptus grandis. Its description in RNAcentral is "long non-coding RNA (EGRA_LNC007433)". The record is from RNAcentral. Lineage: Eukaryota; Viridiplantae; Streptophyta; Magnoliopsida; Myrtales; Myrtaceae.
UUCUCUGGAGAAAAAAAUUCAGAAAAGAAAAGAAAAAGAGAAGAAAAUUUUCCUGCAGAAAGUACACAAGAAAAAAGUAAAAGAGAGAAGUGAGUUUGAGGGGGGAAGCGGCCGAAACGGUAAAGGUUGAUUUGACCUUUACUGUUCAUCAUCUUCCCCAAAGCACCUCCGCCCCACUCACCGCUCCUGCAACUCUGCACCGAAGCACCUCCGCGCCACCGCGACACCAGCCGCCUCCGCAACCCGAGCGCCCCAGCUCUGCCUCUGCCGUCGCGACCCGAAGCCCCGGACGCCGCGCCAAUCCCUGCCGUUGCGACCCUCCUCUGCAAAUCUGUCUCCGCCGUCAGAUCCCAAGCCACCGGUGACCCAGAGUCGCAGCCGAGUCAAGAUCCAGCACCCGGAGUCCCUCCGCUUGCAAAUCCAAGGUCCCCGACGACAUAAGCCCCGGACCCAGCUCGACGCUUCCCUUUUGCCGGUGCCGAGCCUCAUCGAAGACC